This 588-nucleotide ribosomal RNA is filed under the name uncultured Pseudomonadota bacterium. RNAcentral's name for it is "bacterial SSU rRNA". It matches the Rfam family "Bacterial small subunit ribosomal RNA", at positions 107 to 691 of the family's 1533-position model. The record is from RNAcentral. Lineage: Bacteria; Pseudomonadati; Pseudomonadota.
UGAGUAAUGCUUCGGAAUCUGCCCAGUAGUGGGGAAUAACCAGCCGAAAGGUUGGCUAAUACCGCAUACGUCCUACGGGAGAAAGCGGGGGACCGCAAGGCCUCGCGCUAUUGGAUGAGCCGAAGUCGGAUUAGCUAGUUGGCUGGGUAACGGCCUACCAAGGCGACGAUCCGUAGCUGGUCUGAGAGGACGACCAGCCACACUGGGACUGAGACACGGCCCAGACUCCUACGGGAGGCAGCAGUGGGGAAUAUUGGACAAUGGGGGAAACCCUGAUCCAGCGACGCCGCGUGUGUGAAGAAGGCCUGCGGGUUGUAAAGCACUUUUAGUGGGGAUGAAAAGCCCAGGGAUAACACCUCUGGGUCUUGACCUAACCCACAGAAAAAGCACCGGCUAACUCUGUGCCAGCAGCCGCGGUAAUACAGAGGGUGCGAGCGUUAAUCGGAAUUACUGGGCGUAGAGCGUGCGUAGACGGUUUCGUAAGUCGGGUGUGAAAGCCCCGGGCUCAACCUGGGAAUUGCAUUCGAGACUGCGGAGCUAGGGUGCGGAAGAGGGAAGCGGAAUUUCCGGUGUAGCGGUGAAAUGCGU